RNAcentral lists this transfer RNA (77 nucleotides) under Caudoviricetes sp. RNAcentral's name for it is "tRNA-Lys". It matches the Rfam family "tRNA". From Rfam's summary of the family: Transfer RNA (tRNA) molecules are approximately 80 nucleotides in length. Their secondary structure includes four short double-helical elements and three loops (D, anti-codon, and T loops). Further hydrogen bonds mediate the characteristic L-shaped molecular structure. tRNAs have two regions of fundamental functional importance: the anti-codon, which is responsible for specific mRNA codon recognition, and the 3' end, to which the tRNAs corresponding amino acid is attached (by aminoacyl-tRNA synthetases). tRNAs cope with the degeneracy of the genetic code in two manners: having more than one tRNA (with a specific anti-codon) for a particular amino acid; and 'wobble' base-pairing, i.e. permitting non-standard base-pairing at the 3rd anti-codon position. The record is from RNAcentral. Lineage: Duplodnaviria; Heunggongvirae; Uroviricota; Caudoviricetes.
GGAUGUCUAACUCAAUUGGCAAGAGUAUCUGUCUCUUAAACAGAAAGAUGAGGGUUCAACUCCCUCGGCAUCUACCA